UGUAAAAUUUUCAUUUAUUUCUACUGUUAAAAAUUGACGUGACUGGCAAAAUAAUCAAACAGUUACACGUGGCAUGCUAGCAUAUAAGGACCAAUUUUUAAAAAUAAAAAAUGGGUGAAACUUUUAACA
Non-coding RNA from Gossypium hirsutum (cotton), 129 nucleotides. The record is from Rfam. NCBI's taxonomy places the organism in Eukaryota, Viridiplantae, Streptophyta, Magnoliopsida, Malvales, Malvaceae.